RNAcentral lists this ribosomal RNA (253 nucleotides) under uncultured bacterium. RNAcentral's name for it is "partial 16S ribosomal RNA". It matches the Rfam family "Bacterial small subunit ribosomal RNA", at positions 1250 to 1500 of the family's 1533-position model. The record is from RNAcentral.
CGGAAACCGCGAGGUCAGGCUAAUCCCAAAAAAUAGCAUCUCAGUUCGGAUUGGAGUCUGCAACUCGACUCCAUGAAGUCGGAAUCGCUAGUAAUUCCAGAUCAGCAUGCUGGGGUGAAUGCGUUCCCGGGCCUUGUACACACCGCCCGUCACACCACGAAAGUUGGUUUUACCCGAAGCCGAUGAGCUAACAGCAAUGAGGCAAUCGUCUACGGUAGGCCCGAUGAUUGGGGUGAAGUCGUAACAAGGUAAC